This 497-nucleotide ribosomal RNA is filed under the name uncultured bacterium. RNAcentral describes it as "partial 16S ribosomal RNA". It matches the Rfam family "Bacterial small subunit ribosomal RNA", at positions 28 to 507 of the family's 1533-position model. The record is from RNAcentral.
GAUGAACGCUGGCGGCGUGCCUAAUACAUGCAAGUCGAGCGAACAGACGAGGAGCUUGCUCCUCUGACGUUAGCGGCGGACGGGUGAGUAACACGUGGAUAACCUACCUAUAAGACUGGGAUAACUUCGGGAAACCGGAGCUAAUACCGGAUAAUAUAUUGAACCGCAUGGUUCAAUAGUGAAAGACGGUUUUGCUGUCACUUAUAGAUGGAUCCGCGCCGCAUUAGCUAGUUGGUAAGGUAACGGCUUACCAAGGCGACGAUGCGUAGCCGACCUGAGAGGGUGAUCGGCCACACUGGAACUGAGACACGGUCCAGACUCCUACGGGAGGCAGCAGUAGGGAAUCUUCCGCAACGGGCGAAAGCCUGACGGAGCAACGCCGCGUGAGUGAUGAAGGUCUUCGGAUCGUAAAACUCUGUUAUUAGGGAAGAACAAAUGUGUAAGUAACUAUGCACGUCUUGACGGUACCUAAUCAGAAAGCCACGGCUAACUACGUG